CGGGGGCAAGGGUUAACAUGACCCUAUUUGGCUAUUGUGCCAACAUAACAUCAAAUUGAUAAAUUUGAACUAGACAAAAUUCAAUUCAAAUGAAAUCUCAAACAAACAUUUAAUAAUAAGUCAAUAAACUCAAAUGUAUUUAAAUUAAAACAUCAUAAAAGUUUGUCAUUAACACCCUCAUGGAACAAGACUAAUGAAAACUGUUGCAAAAUUCAAACUUCACCAUAUCUCUAGCUGUAAGCUGCUUAUGCUGUGGCAGAUGGCUUAGCACUCGAUAGUCUGGACCUCUUCUUAGCCAAGCUCUCACUUCGGCGUUCCCUCUGCUCCUUCAAUCUGGAUGCAAGGAGUUUCUGAUAAUCUGCUGCCUCUGAUUUUGCCUUAGCAAUUCUCUUCUUCUUGUCUGCAAUUCUUGCUCGCUUCCUUUGGAGUGUCAAAGGAGUGACCAAUCGCUGUAUCUUUGGAGCUUUGCUAACCUUCUUCCCUGCAAUCAAACAACAACCACUAAGAUUACAAUUCAUUACAACUGUCUGUAUUGGUACAAUUUUACCGGAUGUCACUGAAGGACAAUCACAAAUUGUGAGAAAACAGCACUUCCUUCAAUUGGGUACUCUAAACCCCAAUCUAAACAAUGUAUACUGUAAAGUAUCACUGCCUUCAAUGAAAGUAAUAUUCUUCGUACUUAAAACAUAGAAAAAUACAGCAAGUUUCUGCUAGAACAAUGAAUACAAGCGGUGGCUAUGAAGCCCCUUGUAGUUUGGACAACAGUUUUUUAAUAAAAAAAAAAUAUUAAUUCUACAUCUCCCUCACUACCUUUAAUAUAAGGAUAUAUAAAGAAAUGGAUACUAUAUUCAUGGAAUCAGAAACUUACCAUCCUUGGUGGUGAAAGUUCUACGGUAGGUGUUAACAUAUUUUCGCACAUCAUCAUCCUUUGACAGGUUGAACAGCUUACGGAUUUUGGAUGCUCUCUUAGGACCUCUCAUCCUUGGCUUCUCAACAUCAGUAAGCCCUGGAAGAUCAUUAUCACCUUUCUUCACAAUAACCAAGUUCAAAACAGAGAGGUCAGGGCUGACAAUGCAUCCACGAACAGACUUCCUUCUUCGCUCUCCAUUGCGCCUUCCAUGUCCACGGAAACAAGGAGUUCCUGCAAAGCGCAAAAUGCAUAAAACUUAACCAAGUAGAAAACAAGCUUGACUAUGAACUCAGACUCCUGCAAAUAAUGAAUUUCUAAGGGGAGCCCAAAAAUCAUUGCACAAAAACAUAAAACAUUAUGUGUUGCAUCUCUAAAACAACAAUCAUUGUGAUCAUGGACAUGUGGGCCUUGGCCGUCACUAUGUCAUGGAUUUUUUUCUCAUACUAUAUGCAUUCUACAUAAAAUAUAGACAGUUUGACUUAUUGAUCGAUGUUUCCCACACAUCCAAAACUAUUUAACUAGGAGGGAAUAAAGUUCUUUUUAUAAAGUUAGUGGAGACGUUGAUGUAUUGGAGGUUAAAGUUAUCUCUAAUAUUACAUGUGGAAAUUGCACCUACUGAAAUAACGACGUAUGCUAUAUAGUUAAAUGCAAAAUCACAUGAGAUAAAUAGUUAAAUGGUUGUUUCUUUACUUAUAAUUAUAAUGCCUCCAUUACUAUAAAUUUAUAACCGUCCCUGAUAGUAAUAUUAAGAGGCAAAAUUUUCAAUGCAAUAUACAGUAGUUGUACCACUAUGCCGCACAGACAACACCAACUAUAACUAUAAUCUGUUCAUCAUAUGCCGAAUGGCAAAUAGAUUGAAGCUUUAAAGAAAAAAAAUGCUACCUCUAUGGAGCAAGAGCCUAACACGGCCAGGUGUCAACACUCCCUGCUUCAUUGGGAAUCCUUGUUUGUCACACCCACCAGUAAUUUUGAAGACGUAACCCUUGAAUUCCUGCAGGUUGCAAAAUCACAAAGCAAAAUAGAUUAAUUACAAUGCUCCUCAAAAUAAGAAAGCAGACACCAAAAAGUUCAUGCUUAAGAUCAUACCUCUCCCAAGGCAUCGCCAAGGACUUCCUGUGAGAUCCUCUUGUCCCAGAAAGCACGACUGCAAUAUACACAAUGUGAUCAAAUAAUCAAAUAGAAGCCAUAUACAUGACUUAACUUCACAAAAACCCACGUAUAGCACUACACUGAAACCUUGUCUGGAUAAACACAACUUAAGUUCGCAGCUUAUAGCAUAAGCGCUAAUCAUAUAAGCACUAAUGAAUAGUCUAUUCCUAUCAAACAGUACACACCGAUAAAAUAAUGAAAUAAAGGCAAAUUGUUUUUGAAUCUACAAGCUGUUAUCAAUAACCAUCUUGGAGAACUUAUCGAAACAAGUUACAUGUCAUAAGUUGUUUAUAUAAAUUCUCUCAACUCAAACAACAAUCCAAACAGACCCAAUAUCAGUAAAAUCCAAAUUCACAUAAAUGUCGGUAUUAAACAUAAACAUGGUGAAAACAAGUACCAGAUUAGCACUACAGUUAAGUACAAAUGAAAGAAAGAAAGAAAAAAAAAACAAUUACAAUGAAAAUUGAAAAGAAUUUCGCCACAAACAUAAAGAACAGAAACCAAUAUAGAUUCAUGAACAUGGUCAAUUCAAAGUAAUGAUUUUUUUCUCCUAACCAAUAAAUUUAAAAUGAUAAAAAAAAAAUGCGAAAAUGAAAAGAGAGAGAGAGUAAAUGGAUUAUUACAGCUUCAUGUCAUCAUCGAUUUCAAGCUUCUUCUGACAUCCAGUGGUUGGAUUCGCAACGUUAAACUGAAACCAGAACGAAAAUCAUGAUGAUUCAGUUUAAUGAAACAACAACAUUGAAAUCGAAGAAUUGAAGAGUUUGAAAACAAAACCUUCAUGUUGGAAUCUUGUUCUCCUGAUCCAGCCGCGGAAACUCUCGUGUGCAG
RNAcentral lists this long non-coding RNA (2887 nucleotides) under Medicago truncatula (barrel medic). Its description in RNAcentral is "lncRNA gene24974". The record is from RNAcentral. Lineage: Eukaryota; Viridiplantae; Streptophyta; Magnoliopsida; Fabales; Fabaceae.